GAGAAGGUGCAUGAUUAGUAUUUAGUUUGUGUCAAUUAUCCUUCGAUGACACAGGUGCUUGUAUACCGGGGACUAGGCGCACUUGAGGAUUAUGCAGCCAUGUUGCUUAGGAUGCUCAAAUCCCUGUUAGAUCCCUCACAUCAUGACGUCCAUUUCAUUACACCGGAACAGAUUGUACAAGGCAACCUUAACUCCAAAGUCAGUGCCCUGGCUAUUGGCGGGGGGUAUGAUUUAGGACUUAUCGAGGCACUAGGGGAUACCGGAAUGUCGAAUAUCCAGUGCUUUGUGAGAUCUGGAGGGGCAUACUUCGGUGUAUGCUCGGGGGCAUACUUCGCCUGCAACAGGAUUGAGUUCGAUAAAGGAGGGCCCCUGGAAGUGGUCGGGGAACGGAAGCUGAGGUUCUUUCCAGGGGCAUGCAUUGGACCACUGUACAAACCAUAUGACUACAACAGUCGGAGUGGCUCAGUUGCUGCACACAUUGACUUCACCCCAACAGGGGUAUGUUUAGGAAUUGACUCACAGUCAGAAAUCAAUGAAGAUACAGAGAACGGAAGUGGUCUGCUUAUCAAAUCUCCGAAAAGAGCAGAAACUCCCAAGCUGAAUGUACUAAUUACAGAAUCUACCACAAAAAUAGAUCAAAAUACAGAAUCUCUCGCCCAAAAUGGACACAAUACAGAAUCUCCCAAGCAAACGGGACACAAAACAGAAUCUUCAAACCAAACAGGAUACAAUACAGAAUCUCCCAACCAAAUGGGACACAAUACAGAAUCUCCCAGCCAAAUGGGACACAAUACAGAAUCUCCCAGCCAAAUGGGAUACAAUACAGAAUCUCCCAGUCAAAUGGGACUUAAUACAGAAUCUCCUAAUCAAAAAAAGCAAAAUAUAGAAUCUUUAACCCAGAAUGGACCACUUAAUGGAAUACACUCUCCCAAUGUAAAUGGAACAGCAGACGAUGAUUUUCUGCCUGAUGUGCGUGGUGUUAUUUCAAGGUCAUAUUUCAGUGGAGGUGGUUACUUUAAGCUGGAAGUGGAUGAGAGAAGUUGUGAUGUGAAGAUUCUGUCAAGAUAUGUCGACCUGCCAGGUAAUCCAACAGCAGCAGUGCUGUGUGGGGUGGAAAAGGGUGUGGCUGUCCUGACAGGGUUACAUUUGGAGUGUACAGCCGCAGACAUUGAUGACGGGGAUAAAACUGUCGAAAACAUGAUCCCCAUAUUGAAACAGAAUGAGAAGAAAAAUACCUUCAUUUUGAAGAGUUUGCUUAAAGAAUUGAGACUAAAAGUGAAAUGAUUAUUUGUUUAAGACUAUUCUUAUCACUUUGAAAUGUACUAGUUGCAUUUGUAUAAUUAUUUUUACGCCCCUGAAGGGAGGCAUGUAGUAGUAGCAUUGUUUGUGUAUCUGUCGGCUGAUACCAAGAGUGGCAGCAUGAACAUGAGUCACCAUUAACCACUUCAGAGAAUUCUAGAGCAGAAUUGGAAGGUAUUCAGCAGGAGUUGUUUCUCAGGUUUUCCUCAAACUCUUACCUCAAAGGUCAUACAGUAAAACUGUGAUCGCUCGAGGUCGCCAGGGACCGAGCCAAAACCUCGAGGGAACUGAUGUUUCAAACGACCCGAUUUUCAAUUUUCCAGUUUGAUAUGAAAUAUCUUUCAUUGUAUUUUAAGUUUGAAGUCGUCAAACAGACUGUUUACAAAGACACUGAUUAUGUGUUGCGUUGUGGAAAUUGCUAAUAUGUUUAAAGGUUGACGUAAACUAAAUGUAAAACGCAAAAGAAAAAACAAUAAAUGAAUAAAUAGAAAUGUAUAUUUUAACAAAAAGCACAUUUUCGUAACAAGCAACAUUUGAAUGACAGUACAUAUUGUGGCAUUAGUCAGAUUUAAGUUUCGCAAAAUCAAGGAUUGUUGAUUGGCGCAUCUUGUUGGUUUCGCGAAACUGUUCAAUCGUAAUGUGACGUGACAGCGUACAGAGCGUCUGAAGAUCACGGUCAGCAUCGGCAGUGAAUUCAAAGAACCUUCUGACCACAUCUUAAGCAUUAAUUUCUCGUCAUUAACUUCUCAUAAUUAUCAUCCCAAAUGCCCAUAUCAACUAGUAUCGGUCAUGCAUUAACAGUGAAAAACGGUUUUUCACACCUUAUCAAAUUGCCUUUUAACUGUCAUUGUAAUUUUUACAACUUGCGAAAAGUUUAACACCUAGCAAUUGUUUGUUUAUUUUGGAACACGCUUUCGGGAAAAAGUGUGAAAUUAUGUCCUCGAGGGAGCCAUAAGGUUUUGUGCACGAUUUGUGUACUUGGGACCGAGGAUAUUGCUCGACUGCUCCACAUAAUUAGGUUUCGAUGCAGCGUGGGUAUAUUUUAUAUGAAAAUAGAUGGAAAAAAGUUCGGGACCAAGCCCGACCUCGAGGGAACGCCGGUUCUCGAACGACCACUUGUUUGAGGGAACGCAGUUUCACUUUCGCUCUGUAUCUCUUUCACACUAUGAAAGAUCUUCAUAUAACUCGGAUCAAAUAUUCACCACAUCCAGAUGAAGUGCAGAACUCGCAUUCAAGGCUCAAGUCAAGCCAGGAUAAAAUCAAUGUUGCAGAACUGGAAAAGAUGAGCAUUUCUAAAUAGCAAUAAACCCUUCAAUUCAUGUGCUGUGGUUGGGAAUAAGCAAUUGAACCAGAUCAG
RNA transcript from Mya arenaria, 2656 nucleotides. RefSeq lists it as uncharacterized. Lineage: Eukaryota; Metazoa; Mollusca; Bivalvia; Myida; Myidae. The transcript is spliced from 7 exons. The record is from RefSeq and is a predicted model, not a curated record.